This 443-nucleotide ribosomal RNA is filed under the name uncultured bacterium. RNAcentral describes it as "partial 16S ribosomal RNA". It matches the Rfam family "Bacterial small subunit ribosomal RNA", at positions 338 to 795 of the family's 1533-position model. The record is from RNAcentral.
CCUACGGGCGGCAGCAGUGGGGAAUAUUGGUCAAUGGAGGCAACUCUGACCCAGCAAUGCCGCGUGAAUGAAGAAGGUCUUCGGAUUGUAAAGUUCUUUAUUUAGGGACGAAGACGAUGACGGUACCCGAGGAAUAAGCCACGGCAAACUAUGUGCCAGCAGCCGCGGUAAUACAGAGGUGGCAAGCGUUGUUCGGAAUGACUGGGGGUAAAGGUUGCGUAGGCGGUCUGGUAAGUUGGAAGUGAAAUCCCGGGGCUCAACCCCGGAACUGCUUUCAAGACUGACGGACUUGAGUGUAAUAGGGGUAAGCGGAAUGCCUGGUGUAGCGGUGGAAUGCGUAGAUAUUAGGAGGAACACCAAUGGCGAAGGCAGCUUACUGGAUUAUAACUGACGCUGAGGCUCGAAAGCGUGGGUAGCAAACAGGAUUAGAUACCCCAGUAGUC